RNAcentral lists this long non-coding RNA (879 nucleotides) under Xyrichtys novacula (pearly razorfish). The record is from RNAcentral. Lineage: Eukaryota; Metazoa; Chordata; Actinopteri; Labriformes; Labridae.
UUCCAGCCAAAUUGAAUAUGGCCUCUACUUAUUUGAAAGAGUGGCGGAGAAAAAGAGCUUGGGAGGGUGAUUUCAUGGAUGAAUUUUUGAAUUGGAUUCAAGGUAAGGAUUUAUCAGGUUUAGCAGUGGUUUUUAAGUAGGGUGGGGGCUAUUUUAAAAUAGUGCAACAGCAUAUGAUUUUGUGUUUAAAAGCCAAAGUUAAGCACCACACUCAUCAUCCAUUUAUUGUCUCGUUCUCGGAUUUUGCAGCGAGGAAGAGGGUUUAUUCCUACCCAAUGCCUGAGUAAAGUAAGAGUGGCAUAACUACAGUACAAAAUGUUGUUAAGUAAUGUAUUCUAAUUAUUGAAUUGAAUGUUACUAAAUCAUAUCUUUUCACCAAGAGUUCCAGCGGGUGGUCGUGGAAACACUUUUGGAAAUCUGCGAUGAAUUGAAAUCGCUCAACCAGCAGGGGGACAUUGAAGAUGAGGGUGAGCAGAUACGUCAGUUGCUGUUAAGGACUUUGGAGGAGGCUCAGCGCAUGUCGUUGGAAAUCAGUAGGCACCCCAGCAUAAAACGUUUACUGGUAAGUCAAAUAGAGAUGCUAAAAAUGAUAGAAAUCUAUACAUUAGACACUCUUGAUAAUUUGAUUAUAUCAUACAGAUAAAACAACUGUCACACCUUGGGGGGAAGGACAUCAAGACCUGCACACGCAGGAUCCUGGACAGGUAUGAAUAUGACAGCAAGACAAUGUUAUUAAUGUAAUCAUGUAUUGUUGGUGUUUAUCAAGUCUUUCUAGUGAAUUGCAAGAGUAAGCAGUAUUAAGGUGCGUUCACACAGGCACUUGCGCAACGGCAGCGAGGGUUUCUCUGAGGUUUUAGGGACUUGUUCCGCAAAUAAAGA